Alosa sapidissima (American shad) is the source of this 489-nucleotide long non-coding RNA. RefSeq lists it as uncharacterized. The transcript has 4 exons. The record is from RefSeq and is a predicted model, not a curated record. Lineage: Eukaryota; Metazoa; Chordata; Actinopteri; Clupeiformes; Clupeidae.
UUAGUGAAGUUAACCACAUUUUGAAGUACAAACCAAGGGAAUAGGGAACAGCGACUAAGAGAUAGAAAGUGACUCUGAAGUAGUCCACCUUCCUUAGCCCCCAAACCCCAAAUUAGGGAUUUUGAUUCAGAUAGGGAGAGCCUCUCCAUCAAGUCAAUCCUCUUGUACAGCCUAAACCCAUCGAAAAGGGGCCCCCGCACCAGACACACACACUGAAAGAUACUUCCUCUUUUACCCUGUGAUAUUAUCACAGUCCGAAGAUGAACACCAACAGGAGUAGCGAUCUCAACUGUGUUAAAGGGAAUCCCUUUGGACACCAGAGUAGUCACAAAACGCACACCUCCUCUUUUACCCUGUGAAAUCCUCACAGUCCGAAGACAAGCGCACCCACACCUAUAGGAGUAGCGAUCUCUACUGUGUUACGGGAGCCCCAUAGACACCAGAGUGGACACAAAACGCAACAUGGAGCCCAACGUCUAGGCAGUGCUU